CGGUGAAUACGUUCCCGGGCCUUGUACACACCGCCCGUCACACCACGAGAGUUUGUAACACCCGAAGUCGGUGAGGUAACCUUUUAGGAGCCAGCCGCCGAAGGUGGGACAGAUGAUUGGGGUGAAGUCGUAACAAGGUAGCCGUAUCGGAAGGUGCGGCUGGAUCACCUCCUUUCU
This 177-nucleotide ribosomal RNA is filed under the name Bacillus subtilis. RNAcentral's name for it is "partial 16S ribosomal RNA". It matches the Rfam family "Bacterial small subunit ribosomal RNA", at positions 1360 to 1533 of the family's 1533-position model. The record is from RNAcentral. Lineage: Bacteria; Bacillati; Bacillota; Bacilli; Caryophanales; Bacillaceae.